ACGGACUAGUAGCGCCAUAAAUGCACACACAUCAAAUACUCUCAGAAAUCUAACCAACUCCCAUCUUUCUACCAAUCCUAUCGUAAUCUGCGUGAAACUCAUUACAAGCCGUCAUUCCACUUACGCGCUCUUACAUUUAUCACAUCUUUCACAAGACAAACAUAAAACCAAUGAAUGAAUUUCAAAGACACGCAACAAGAGUUGAAGAAUUAAGCGCGAAGCUGGUGCGAGCAUAGUAAAUACUAUGUAAGUCACAAUCGCCGAAAUGCGGCAUAUUUUUGUUUUACUUAUUUAUUUAAGAGUACGAGUACAAGUAUUUAUGUAUAUUUAUUUUCCAUUUGGCCGUGAAAGUGAAAGGCUCAAGAAAGCUAUUAAGCCGCUCGCCUAACUAACUAGCGGAGCUGAAUGAUGCGCUGGCGAGUUGGCGGAAUCGGUGAAGAGCAUUGUUGUUGAUGUACUGUGCACUCGCUGCAGUGUUUAUCUUUCGGUCUGUCUGUCAUUCAGUCAGCCACUUAGUGAUUUUCUUCUUUUCUUUUCUUUAUUUUGUGUACUGCAUCGUUAACACUUUAACACACCUUUCACUCAACACCUCAGCAGACAAAAAACAAAAAUAAAUAAAUAAAAAAAAAAAAAUCAAUUAUUUACAAAGUUUUAAUGCGAUCCCUUGAAUGCGCUGGCUCGUUGUUGCUAAUGAAUUGAAAGCAUUUGCAAGCAUUUCAAUGGCUUUAUUCACUGGCAAUCAGCUGAUUGACAUCUUCAUUUGCAACUUCAACUCCAACACAAGCAAAUGUAAAACAAAAUGUGCAAACAUGCAACGCAUGUGACAACAACAUUCGUGAAAACGAGUAAUAUACGUAAAUUUGUAUGUAUGUACAUCAAUAUAUAUACGACACAAGAACGAUGACAACAAACUCUCCUUAGCCAACUUCACAGAACGUGUUGUCGCAAACAAAAGACCAUGGAUGAGCAUGUGGUAAACUGGUUAUGGUUUAUGUAGUAAGUAAAGGAGCACAACCGCAAACUAGUCACUAGCCGACAUAUGUACAUACAUACAGACACACUGGUCGCAUUGCCAAGUCGUGCGGUUGCAUUGUGCCAACAAAAGGAAGUGAGCCAAUUGUUGACACGCCACCGAAGCAAAAUGUUGCACGAGCUGGUUGGUUUGUUGGAAAUAAAUAUAGACUUUUGCAUAAAAAAAAUAUUAAUAUUUGUAUGUGUACGUAAAUAUAAAUGGAAAUGUUGCAUGAAAGCGGCCAACAAAUAAUAAUAUGGAGUAACAACAAACUGUGAACCAGUUUCAUAUUGACUUCAUUUCCAUUGUUUUGUUGCUGCUUAGCCGCGAAAAGUGUGUCUUCUUUACUGACUUAUGAGAUGUACAUGUGUAUAUGACAAGUAAGCGUGGUUUUACUGUUGCUGAUCAUACUUUGGCUUGGAAGAUUCUACGAAACCCACUUUGAACGGAAGCGUUAUUGGUGGCCGUUUAUUCGGAACAAUCCACAACACAUUGUUUGGUUAUAAUUGGUUAGCAGCUUACAUGUGUACAUAUAAGCAAAAAUUAAAUAAACAAUUAAAUUGUAUUCACUUUCAACUUGCUUUUAAUACAAAUUAAUGUUUUUCUUAGCUUUACAUUAAAUAGUAAAUGCUUUGCUCUCAAUCACAAUCAUUUCAUCACUCCGUUGUCUGUCACUGUCAAAGCAUUGCGACAGUUUAGCAGCUUAAUUCGUAUUGCCUUGGCGCUCAAACCAUUCAACACCUUUUAUAUUUGUGCAAUUUUGUUUUCCCCCCAAAAGCAUAUUGACAGAUGUCAAUCAAAAUCAAAUGCCGAAAAAAUGUGCUAUUUUAUUCCCGUACAAACUGCGACAAAAAAAUUAAUUUAUAGCAAAAAAAAUAUGUAUAUAGAUAUAUUUAUUGCACAUAAUUACGUUACACCAUGCAAGCAACGAGUAAUGCAUGAAAAUUACGCGAAAUAAUAACAACAACAUUUUGAGUAAAUAUCGCCAAUAGCUGCUAAUUAGUGUCAAUUGAAAAAAUUUAACAAGCAAUAAGCAAUUGCAGGUAACCUGCUGGGAGUUGGGCCAGCAGAUGUAAGCAAAAAAAGAGCAAACGAGUGUGUAAAAUACAAAACAAAGUUGUAAAAGUGAAAUAAUCAAUCGUCAAUGUGUGAUUCGUCAGUUGUAUUUCGUAAAUACAUAAAUAAAUGCAAUUUUAAUUACAACAAGAUUAUUUUUGGUAACAAUACACAAGAUUACAUACAGAUUACAACUGCAUUAAUACAAUUAACCCCAUUAAUUAUCACUAAAAGUUGAAUAAAUUGUCGGCUGGUUUUUGUUAUGAUUUAGCACGCUGUGAUUUCUAAUUGUUUCGAUCUGACAAUUGAUUGAUUUCAAAAGUAAUUAAAUUUAUGAACGUGCUCUUAAAUUCAUUAAUGAUUUAGCAGACGUUUUGAUUAAUGCAUGCGGAAAUAUAAAAAUUUGAAGGCUACUUAUCUGCAGAGGCCCAUAGUGAAUAGAAGAGCACAAAGUUAGACAUCUUAACACAUAUUGAGUGUAAAUUAAACGGUUGUUUUUUGACUCGUGGUUUUC
This 2582-nucleotide long non-coding RNA is filed under the name Ceratitis capitata (Mediterranean fruit fly). RNAcentral's name for it is "uncharacterized LOC110117740". The record is from RNAcentral. Lineage: Eukaryota; Metazoa; Arthropoda; Insecta; Diptera; Tephritidae.